AUGGCCGUUGGUCACCAUGCACCCCUACCCGAUGAUGUGGCCAAUGGUGUUGUAGCUACUAGGAAAGAGAGAAAUGCCAUGGAGGUAUCUAGUGUUGUGCAAUAUAAUCAAAAUAUGGUGAGGCACAAUAGCAUGAGUGCCAAGGAAUUGAAGGCGCUGACGCACGCAAUUGUACAAGCUUCAUCUAUACUCUAUAUUGGCUUCUUUGGUAUUCGAAUUCCCUCUGCUAAAGCACUGAAAGAGGACAUCAAGAAAAACUUCAGAACACCACCAUGUAGUUGUAACGUGGCUGGUAAGAGUCGUAGUGUAACGCCCGGAUAA
Molecule: ribosomal RNA, 321 nt
Filed under: Triticum aestivum (bread wheat)
Lineage: Eukaryota; Viridiplantae; Streptophyta; Magnoliopsida; Poales; Poaceae
Description: partial small subunit ribosomal RNA
Source: RNAcentral